Vidua chalybeata is the source of this 2303-nucleotide long non-coding RNA. RefSeq lists it as uncharacterized. Lineage: Eukaryota; Metazoa; Chordata; Aves; Passeriformes; Viduidae. The transcript is spliced from 3 exons. The record is from RefSeq and is a predicted model, not a curated record.
UUCUCUGGUGAAGGAUGACAAAUGAUCAGCUUGUGGGGACUGUGCGGGUUAUCAAACACCCAGAAAUAUUUGAGGGGGAAAAUUGCCUCCAAACACAGAUUAGUUUACUAAAAAUAGCAUCAGGAAUGACUCUUAUGUCAGAUGGUGUGGAAUGAUGUAAGAAACAAAGCCUGUUUGAGAGCCUCUAAUACAAGGGAUGUAUGGGAUGCUGCUGCAAUAAUAAUUUAUAUGGUUGCCUGCUAGCAGGUUGAUAUAUUUGUUACCUACAAAGAGUGUCCAUGCUCUUGGAGGGAAAAAACUGAAAUUUUGUCAAAAACUUCUUUGGAAAACACAAGAAAAUUUGUUCUCAAAUUCUGACAAAAUAGGUUGUCCAUUUCAGAAGGAGAGAGGGGCUCUCUAAGGAGAAUUUUAUUCCCAGUUGCUCCUUCUGUGAAGUUUCAUGGGCCAUGUUGACUUUGGGAGUGGAAGAGGAGACAAGGUUUUCAAUUUGACUGUCAAGGUUUGGACAUGAAAUUCUGGUUGAACCGAAGGAGAUGAGACAGGCAAGCUUACACGUGCAGCUCCAGGAGGGUGGGAAAGACAUCCUGGAAGAACUGGAAAAUCACCCCUGGAAAUGAAGAAAAGGAGACAUGAAACAACUUUCAGAAUUGAUACUUGCUGUUCAGGUGUGAAAAUACAUGACUACAAUGAGGAUGCACUUUUUGAUUAAUAUUUUCAACUAAAAGCUAGCUGAAUGAUAAGUGGCAGAGGAAAGCACCAUGAUGUGGUUCCCAAGUCUGUGAACACACACUUAACAUGCCUCUGGACAAAAGGGGUAAAAGAAGAUUGAGGUUGGCAUGAAGUAGCAAAAAAAACCAGCAUCUGCCUUUAGUCAGGGGAGCUGUUGCCAUCAUUAUCAAACAGAAAAUCCUAGGAAUUGGUUUUGCUCUCAGGACAUGUAGUGUUUGUUCUUAUAAACAGAAAUAUGUUUUAAGGUGUUCAUAUGUAGUGAAAGGGGUGACUGUGGGAGAAACUGGAAACCCACUUCAGAAAUCUUACUUACUCCUGUUUUCAAAGGGAGCUGAGUGCAAAUUGGGACCAGAGGAGAUUUGUGGCUAAUUUGGGAUCCAAACAUGUACUCAGGGCCAAAGGCUGGUAAAAUUUCCUGGCAUUCGCUGACUCAGUAGCAAUGCAGAAGGUUUAUGGAAACACCCUUCACUGUGUGUUUUUCUGGCAAACAGAAGGGAUGGGUUCAUUUUCCUGGGAAGAAGACUCUAAGUUUUCUGUGGCAUUUCCCUGUAAGUAUUGAGAGGUUACUCAGGUGCAGUCCCCUGCUGGAAAGGCAGCCCUGGCUAAAAGACUAAGGAGGCUAAAAGAGCUGCUUAUGUGAUUUAAAUGGGUUACAGUUUCCUUCCCUUCCAGGUAUUUGGAAAAACCACAUCCUCCUGUCAGGAGUGCUCCUGAGCCCCUUGUAGAACUGCUGGAGAGUUUCUGAGAGCCCAAAGCAGGGCUGACAGCCCUCCCACUGAAAAUUCUCAUGCUGAAGAAGCUGCUCAUCAACUCUGCCAUCAGCAAAUGACAUUCUCAAGGGUUUCUUCUUUUGGCCUUCUCUUUUAAUAGUACUUUUUCUACGCUACCAGAGGUACUUUCUGUUCCCCAUUAAAUCUCCUGAAGUGUUGUUCUCCCCAGGGGUAAACAAGGAACCCAGAGAUGCUUCAGGAGGCUUCACAUGGUCCUUGCUGAUAUGCCAUGCAACAAGAUGUGUGGAUGUGGCAUUUGAAGACCUGGUUUAGUGGUGGACCUGGCAGAGCUGGACUCAAUGGUCUCAAGGGUCUCUCCCUAACGAAAUGAUCCUGUGAUUCUAAGAUGAUGUGAGACCUCUGUAGAAGUGGACGAGCUGAUACAGACCUGGCUUUUCCUGGCGGCCUGCUCAGAAGGUGCAGCUGUGAAAGAGGAAACAUCUCCUGAUCUGACUUAUAUUAACAGUGACCCUCUGAGCCACUGUUAAAGCAGCAGAACAAAAGACAUCUGGGAGAGAUCUGCAGUCACCUGCUGUGACAGUGGGGCACGGGGCUCUGAAAGCUCUGAUCCAUUAUGCUUUCCACCUAUUUCUCUGGAGAAACCACUUCAGUGUGUGAAAAGGUGUUUAAAUAAAAAGCUGUGCUUCAUGUUAAAAAGGGAGGAAAUUCCCGUUUCCUUGCUUGUGUGCCAUCCUGUUGGUCCUGGGUCUGCCUGACAGAUGCAUUCCUCCCUGAAGACCUCCCUGCUAAUCGUGAGUAGCAGAUGCCAGUCUUCCUCAGCACAUGUUGGGAUGUAAUGUAGCC